CUCUUGAGAUGACAACUGUUGGGAAAGCUGGCCUGUUCGUGUAAGCAUGGUCUCACCUGCCAGGAGUCUGGAAGUCUGUUGCAAGGGUUUGUGUUCUGAUUCAGGUUGGAAACAGAGGCAUGGAGAUGUGUAUUUGGCUGGCAGCCUGCCCAGGCUCAAAAGUCUCAUGACUACUAAUGUGACUAUUUCUAAAUAUUAGAUAGUGCCGCUUGUUUUGUAAAUGUGGCUGGAUUGAAGUGUUAGCAGAUAAGGAGAGGACAAGGCUUUAUCUACAUUGCGGGAUCAAUUUUUGCUAACCUGUGUGGAGGAAAAUGCCAAUGCAACUCCUGUCUUUGAGAAGGAAAACACAGCUGUUGUUCAACCACACAUACUCAGUGCUAUGUGACAGCCCAGGCACAACGCGAGGGGAGAUGUUGAAGCUGGUAACUGUAAAGGGAGUUCUGGUCAGAAGGAUGCAGGAGGUUACGAACCACACUGCAGUAGGCUGAUGUUCAUAGAUUGCCAACAGGUCUCCGAGAUUAGACGGUCUUGCACCUUCUCUGGAUGGUGAGGCCCUUUGUAGCUGCAUCAGACGGGGAUGUUUCAGUCUUACUGGAACCUACAGACCUUCCCAAGCUUUUGCAGCCUUUUAGAUGUCUCUGCAGAUCUCCUGCUAGUCUGUCAUGAGCUUAUUUCUCAAAACACACUGUCAGUGCAAGCUAACUUAGCUGUGGAAAAUAUUGGACCAAUCUAUGUGACCCCUUAGGUUGCACAGUUGUCUUGUACAGAGAUGUUCCUCAUAUUCUUGUUCCCUGCUUCUUCCCCAUCCUUACAUUUUUGGUCAUCCCUUUCUCUCCAGGUUCCAGAUCGCUACAAAUCUCAGUGUGGAGAGGUACGCCCUGGUGUUUGGGGUCAAUACUUUCAUUGCCUUAGCACUUCAGACGCUGCUCACGUUGAUUGUUGUGGAUUCCAGAGGGCUUGGGCUGGACAUCUUCACCCAGUUCAUGAUUUAUGCAUCUUACUUUGCGGUUAUCUCCCUGGUGUUCCUGGGCAGUGGCAUAUACAGUAUUAUUAGAGCUUACAGAAGACAAGAGCAGAUGCCAAGCAGAUCUCCUGAAAGCCACUAGUGCACCAAGCGAAGACCUUCAGUGGCUACGUAUGAAGAUAGAGGUCUGUUUUUUAAUCUCUGCCUUUUCUUCCCAAGGCAGUCACCUUAAUGGUACUUGAUCCAUAUUUGUACUAUAUUAGUAGCACAUUUUAGAAGGUAAAUGUAUUAGGUCUUACGUAAGUAAGAACAAAUAUCUUCUUUCUAAAAUGCCUCUUGUUCUUCUGUUGCAUAUAUGGAUGUGCAGCAAAGAACAGUAAGUUUUCUCAAAAAAUGAAAGCCUUAAGAGGCUUUAGUCUAAAGUCGUGCAUCUGGAGACUGUCAUUGAAAAGGCAGCUUGAUUGCCUGGUAAACAGCUGCUCUCUUUGUCAUUAAGAUGCUGCUGUGGUGAGGGCAUUCUCAUCGACCUCUUUGUGGAGAGACCUGGUCCUGGGAGAGGAGGUGGCCUUAGGCCAGUGCUCUUCCGUGCCUGCCCUGAGAUGCUGGAUACUCUAUUUUGAGGACUCACACACUUACAUUUCUGCAUAUACACAUGUUUCUUUUAGUUUAAUAUUAUUUCUGCAGCUUAUCUGCUGUCCCUGCUGUCAGAGCUUUGCCAUGGCUGAUCGUGCCACCUCCACAAAAAUCUAACUGUCCUGGGGCAACUUGUGACAGCGCUAACUUGGCUGCCAGCGGCGCUACUUGUGCUGUGAAGGUCUGCACCCAAGAGACUGUAAAGCUGUAGGGAAAGCCUAGGGAGAGUUCAAGUAGGCAGGAUGCUGAUCUGCGGAAUCGCUGGGCAUCUUUGCCUUUGUCCUCUAGGUCUGCAGAUUCCUGCAGUUAUUAGAGUCACUGACUCAUAUCACAGAAGCCUGGGCUAUUUCAGUGGGAAGGUGGAUGUGAGUGUAGCACCAAGAAGGAAGGUGACUUGCAGGAUUUUAAGCUAUUCUUUGUAACCUCAGAGAAUCAUGACCGCAGUGACUAGACACCUUCAGUUACUGUAUUUAACAAAAUGAACACCUGAGGCCUUGAAAAAUGGUGAUUGCUGAUCUGUUGCUUCUUCCCUUUUUAAAAUGCCUUUGUUUCUGGUGGGUCUCUAUCCACUAGUUCUACCUCUUCUUUCCACUUAAAAAAAAAAAAAAAAAGUGUUUACGGAGAGAAGAGUUUUUAUUUUCUUUUGUCCAGUCUGAGCAAUUUUGGACUUGCCUCAUUGCCUCAUAUCUAUUUUUUAAAAUGCUUUUUUUUUUUUUUUUUUUUUUUUCCCCAAAUUGCAUCAGCACUGAAGGAGUUGCACAGAGCUGUCCUAGGCUUGGGCACCUGGGUACUCAGGCAUCAUGACCGGCACAGCAACAGGUAUCUGUAGCACACUGGUCAUGGCCUAUAAACUGUCCCAGUUGCUGUGCAGGUUGUAGUUUUAAGUGUAUGGGAGAACUGGAAGGGAGAACGUGCUGUGCAGUGUGCUUCCUUUCCAUGCCUUCUCUUUGUGUGGUAUUUGGAGUUUAUUCCAGUCAGCCUGAAGAAGCAGCUUCGUUUCAUUACUUGGUUUGUUUAAUGCCAUGGAGAUGUCACAGCUUUUCUCUCCUGGCUGGGACAGAUAUGAUCUUCCUCAUCAUUUCUGAGAGCCUCAACCUUUAUGACUCAAGCUGAAUGACUAAUGUGUUUGGGAUGUGCUCUCUGGGGUCUACGGAGCUCUCUAAGGCUGGCUUCUCAGGGAAGUGCACUCCCCAAAGCUUCAGUGUGUCAGCAGGCUGCCUUCUGAAAUGUCUUAGGGGCUCAGCUUUAUUUAUACUUGUAUGUGUAAACUUAACUGCCUUAUCCUGAAAUGGAAACUUGAAGCCAACUACAUAUAUAUUCUGUUCUUUACUGUAUAAAAAAAUAAUCUGAAGCUGUGAAAUGCUAGCUGACGAGCUGGCCUGAGAAAGGGUAGUAAGGGCAUACCUUGUCCUUUGGGUUCCUUGGCCUGAUGGCAGCUGUGAUGUGAGAUGAGGCAUGGAUGCAUGGCACUUGUAUCAAGUGACAGAAAGAAGCAGCUCAGUUUUAAUUGCACUUUUCAUACAUAGAAUAAAUCUUUGAAGGGGAACAACCCAGUUAAUUUUCAACUUCUAUUUAAGUAACUAAUGAAUUACAGCAAUAAAUUUUUCUACCAAAGUCAUGAAAUUGUGACAGCUCUAAUAGUGAUGUGCUACACUGUGUACAUCUUCAGGCCUAUUUAUGGAAACUACACCUAGAUGUUGUUCUUAUGGUAUGCUGUUGCUGUGGUGAUGAGGUGUCAGAGUCUGACUGUACCUGGAAUUAUUGAUGCCUAUGAAAUUCUGUAAGCAUAUUGAUGUUGUUAGUAGGACCCCUUCAGCUUGUUUCUAAUUGAAUAGCUAUUUUUGUUAAAUAAAAAUAUUUCAAGACAUGUGUGGCCAGUGUUUGUUUUGUCUUCUGAUAACUUGCUAAUCCACAGCAUUG
RNAcentral lists this long non-coding RNA (3517 nucleotides) under Anas platyrhynchos (mallard). Its description in RNAcentral is "lncRNA (ENSAPLG00020007683.1)". Lineage: Eukaryota; Metazoa; Chordata; Aves; Anseriformes; Anatidae. The record is from RNAcentral.